CAUCACUUGGAUCUUAUCUGGGGAGGGGUGAGAUUUUUUUCUGGAAGUCUCCCCCCGGCCCCGGUGGAGGAUUUGAGGCUGGGCUCCAAUCGAGGCGGAGGCUGCAGGGCCCGCGGGGCGCCCCCGCCCCGCGCACGCCUCCCCGGAGCCCUGGAAGGCGCAGCCCCGGGGGACCCCCCUGCACCCCGGGAGGUGGCAGCGGCGUAUUCUUCGGGGGUCCCUGGGCCAGCCGGGCGCGCGGGGAAGACGGCAGCUCUGAGUGCCUCCAGCAACUAGAAGAAGAGAGAAAGAAGUUCCCCCACAUUCUCCCUUCUGGUCCCGGGUCCAUCUCCCCUCAGAGCUCAGAACUGUUCACUGCCCGAAAAGUAAAAAGACACCAUCCACAGACACUGGUGGCUCAACAUGCCUUUUGCCCUCCGGGGGCAGAAUGUUGGAGAUCAGGCCUGGGAACAGCAGGGCAGCUGUGGCUGCUGUCAGCGUUUGCUCUGGGGGUUUGUCGGGGGAGGUGGGGAAAGUGGAACAAGUGUUACCUGUUUGACGAGGCAGGCGUAUUUCACCGUUCAGCCUGGUCCUUCCAGUGGGGCCUCUGGGAUCCUCACCUUGGCAGGGGGCCCUGGGCAGUCCUGGCUUGCUCACCUGCUCCUGAGACAGGCCACUUUCCCACUCUCUGCCUCGGUUUCCCUGUCUGCCAAGGGAGGGGCAGCACCCCAUGCUCUUGGCCUCAAAGGGUUCUUGGUUGUACCCAACAUUAUAAUGAGCUCAAGUGAUACGCAAGCUCUGAAGCUGCUUGGAAAAUGGGGAAGUCAAGUUAUUAAACAUGGGAGGUGUUGGUGCUAAUGUUUACUAAUACACACCUAACGUGCUGAGACAGUUCAGACAGGAGGGGAGACUGUCGCCCCACAGUGUAAGCACCGGUUUCUGGAAUCAGCCAGUCAGAACUCUGAGACUCUUUUGCUGUGUCACCCCAGGCAAGUGACUCAACCUCUCUGGGCCUCCAUUUCCUCACACAUGAAACCCACGUUUUGGAACAGAAGUUUGCCAAGUCUGAUAUGCACAUCUACUCAAUGAGUUUAAGUGGUACCUGGCUAAAGAUGGAAAUUAUUCUCAUAGGUAUUUCUUUGUACAGCUUAUCUCUAUUUAUGGCAAGCGGUUUGUUUUCGGUUUAGGGUAGGGAUAGACAGGCCCUUUUUUAUACCAAUUUAUGCAGGUAAAGAUAGAUGAGUUGCUGGAAAGAAAAGCAUUAAGCAAAUAAUAAUACAGGUGGCCUGAGGAUGGGGCAGAAAUCAAGAUGCCAGUUUGCAAAGUUUCAUAGGUCGGCUUACUUAAGAAUUCUUGUUUGUCUUGGGAUUUUUGCAUCCACAUAGUUGGCGUGGGGAGGAGAUGGGUGGGUUGCUAAUUCAAAUCUCUGGAGGGCUCCACCAUGGCAGUCUGAGUGUCACAAGUCUUCCCUUCUCGGGGGGAUGGGAGGGGGCCCACCUCUCUGCUCACCGACGCCAGGGAGACCCCUCAGACCUCCAGCCCUGCACCGACCCCUAGCUUUGACUUGUCUCAUUUUAGGAUCACGAUGACCCAGUGCCCUCCUUCCUGGCCAGGGCACCUCUCUGGGCCUCAGUUUUCUCAGUGAAAUGGGGAGAAUAACAAACUCUGUCCCAUAGCUGUGUGUGAAGAUGGAGGGGUUAACAGGGCUCCAUCGGGCGCUGAUCCUUCACAAACAGCACCCACUCGGAGGGCAGUGGGCCCCAGCGGCGCUGGACACGCGGGGGGCGCUCCUUCCACAGGCCACCCUGCGCCACCCGGCACCAGCUCCCUGCCCACCCCCUGGGAGGGUGGCUUUGCAGGGAAACAGCAGGCAGCCAGCAGGGGCGGACUCUGGUUUCACUUUCUGCUGUGUCAUGGAGUGGGGGGUGGCAUCGGGGCCCAGCUGGCCAGCUGGGGCGGGCACCGAGAGGCCAGCAGACAGCUGCUGGCCCAGCUGCCAGAGCACAAGCCGCGCCCCCCUGCAGCCUGCCAGGGUGGGGGCUGGGUCCUCGGGUGCCCCUUAAGGGCCUCUCCUCCCGCACGGUGGGGAGAACCCCAGGCGAGAAAAGCCAGGAGCGGGUGAGAUCGUUUCUUGAGCUGUGGGAUCCCCCAAAAGCAACUUCUCAAGUCACGCAGCCUUGAAGUUCUGAGAAGUGCAGCUGUGGGUUCUGGAUCAGGGUGCGCUGGCUGGACACCUGCUCCCUGCCUCCCUUCACUGGGCACAUGGUGGGUGAGGGCCUACUGUGUGCUAAGCAGUGUGCCAGGUGCCGGAGGUACAGCAGGGAGCAGGACAGCCCCUGCCCUCAUGGGGCUCCCAGUUAAGUCUGGGAGAUGGACAAAAGAGCGAGCAAGAAAGAAUCCCGCGUUAUGGGGGAAAUUCCAGCCUGAACGUCUGGUGCUAGCAUCUCAGGGCAGGGGCGUGCCUGCGUAUGCACGUAUGUGUGUCAGCAACGUGUCACCUCCUGGGACACAACGGUAGGUUAAGAAUACAGACCCAGGGGCCAGAGGUCCUGUGUUUGAAUUUCCACUGACUGGUGCGUGACCUCAGGCAAGUGGUCUCUCCUCUUUGGGCCUCAGUUUCCCCGUUUGUAGGUGCAAGAAUGAGAGUAUUUACAUGGUAGGGCUGCGGCGAGGAUGAAAUAAACGAGCGUCCGUAGAGAAUGGAGGACAGCGCCUGGCAUCGACCGUGUGCUGUGUAAGUCUUAGCUGUUCUCUGAGAAUAAUAAAUGCGCGCUCUUGUAAGAUGAAAUGCGGCCGUCACGGCGGGCUGAGCACAGCGGGAGUGCUGUGGGGUCCAUCCCCUCUGCCAUGCGCUUGCCAUGCUUUCUCAGGAGCCACAACCACCCCUCCGAUGCCCUUACCAUCUUGUUCAGAUGAGGAAACUGAGGCUCAGGCAGAUAAAGAGGCCUGUCCCAGGUCCCCAGCUGGAAAGGAGUUGGGCCACCAUGCAGGGCCGGCUUUGCAGUGGUGGGCCCUGCACUUGGUUUAAUGCUCUGCUGUUGUCUUAAAUUCUCAAUCAUUUUGGAAACAGGAGCCCCGAGUUUUCAUUUUGCAAAUUAUGGAGCCCGUCCUCCCCAGACCGGACUUAGUCCAAAGCCAUCACUCUUAACGACUCCCAUCCAUAUGUCAUACAGCCGGCUCCAGAAUUUUCCAGAUCAUCGACACAGGGCUUAUGGAGGGACUGAAAUCCUGGGAAGAAUAUGAAGCCUUUCUCCUGGGCUCAACUGCCCAAGUGCCUGUUUGUCUGUGGCCCCAGUGGAAGGCAGGCGGGGAGGGCAGGGCUGGGACUCAUUCAUUGCCAUGUCCCCAGGGCCUUGCUUGUAUUAGCUGCUCAGUUAAUAGUUGUGAAAACAGGUGAACGGGAGGCUGCUGUCUCUCAGAAACAAACCUACGUAAAUGACCCCUUCCAGGAGAGCGGGUCGUCAGGGGUGCAGUGUACACUCUGGCCGGCCCAGCAGGCUUCCGGACAACCCCUGAAGGCGUGGAGAUGCACGGCUCUCUUCCCCAUGCCCCAAACCUGUGUGCCAACACCUUUAACCGAUUACUGUUUAACAGGUUCUGGUGGGGAGCCCGGAGACAACAGAAAUAUUUAAAGACAUGCGGGCCUGGAUUCCUGAGUGCCUGGUGUUAAGAAAGAUGCAGAGUUCAGCCAAAAGAAUACGCAGGUUGUAGUUCUGGGCCAGUUCAAGUCCCAGCCCAGGGGCGGGGGCACAGUUUCUUGGACUGUUAAAUGGUAGGGUUUGGGGGCCAGCCUGGUGGUGUAGUGGUUAAGUUUGAAUGCUCCGCUUCAGCAGGUGGGGUUUCCCAAUUCGGAUCCUGGGUGUGGACCUACACAGCAGUCAUCAAGCCGUGCUGUGGCAGCAUCCUACAUACAAAAAAUAGAGAAAGAUUGGCACAGAUGUUAGCUCAGGGCCAAUCUUCCUCACCAAAAAAAAAAAAAAAAAAAAUGAUAGGGUUUGGAUUAAAGGUCCUUUUUCCUCUGAAAUUAGAGUUCUUCUACAUUCUCAAAGCUCCAAAUGAUAAAUAUGACUAAGAAGCAAAGAAUCAUCUCAAAGCCUUUAAAAUAUUUAUAACAAUAAUAAACAUUUGUAUGUUUUUGCCUGCUGAUUUCACAGGCUGUAUCUCCAUUGCUUCAGAUAACCCUGUGAAGUAGGAAUUACCCUCAUUUUCUAACAACCAUCAUAACCACCAGCAUAUAUUGAAUGCUGUAUAUGGACUAGGCACUUGACACACAGGAAGUCAUUUUAGUUGCUCAAGUGACGUAUGAGGCAGGCACUGUUAUGAGCUACUGCCUACUUAAGAAACACGCCAAAGAGAGGAACUGACUUGUCUAAGGUCACACACCCGCCAGGUGAUGAGUUGGGGUUCAAGCCUGGAUCUUCCAUCUCAGGGGUCAGCCAACUUUUUCUGGAAAGGGCCACAUACUAAAUAUUUUAGGCGUUGCAGGCCGUGCAGUCUGUGUCACAGCUGUUCCACUCUGCUGUUGUAAUAAGAAAGCAUCCACAGAUAAUACGUAAAGGAAUGGACAUAGCUGUGUGUUCCAAUAAAACUUUAUUUACAAAAACAGGAAGUGGGCCAAGUUUGGCCCACAGGUUAUGGUUUGUCCACCCUUGUGGCAGAGGCCCAAAGCUGCCUUCCAAUUAGGAAGAACAUGGCCCUGGCAGUGUGAGUCACCUGGGAGGUGACUGAGUUACAUUUCAGAGCAGAGACCGCUGGCAUGCAGGGAGAGAGUGGAGGCGAGAGAGGACAUUUCCCAGAGGCAGGAGGCUGGAGCCCAGGGCUUCCUGGCAGGAGGGGUGGGGGAAGGCAUGAUUUUUUUUUUAAACAGUUUGAUUGAGAUAUAAUUCACUUACCAUACAAUUCACCCCUUUAAAGUGCAGAGUUCAUUGGCCUUGAGUAUAUUCACAGAGUUGUGCAACUGUCAUUAUAAUCAAUUUCAGAACAUUUUCAUCACCUCAAAAAGAAACCCUGUAACCUUUACAGCAGUCACCCACCCUAAUCGUUCUGUCUCUGUAGAUUUGCCUGUUCUGGAUAUUUCAUAUACAGUCACGUGUCGCUUAACGACAGGGAUACGUUCUGAGAAAUGUGUCAUUAGGUGAUGUCAUCAUUGUUCAAACAUCACAGAGUAUAGGUACACAAACCUAGAUGGCACAGCCCACUACACACCUAGGCUCUAUGGUACUGAUCUUACAGGCCCACCAUUGCAUAUGUGGUCUGUCAUUGACCAAAACAUCCUUAUGUGGUGCAUGACCGUAAAUGGAAUCAUACAGGAUGUGGUCCUUUGUGACUGGCUGGUUUUUUUCAAAUCUCUUUAUUGUUUUGUGUUUUUUUUGGUGAGGAUGCUUUGCCCUGAGCUAGCAUCUAUUGCCAAUCUUCCUCUAUUUUGUAUACGGGAUGCUGCCACAGCAUGGCUUGAUGAGCAGUGUGUAGGUCCGUGCCCAGGAUCUGUACCCACAAAUCCUGGGCCACUGAAGCAGAGCGUGCAAACUUAACCACAAUACCACCAGGGUCCCCUGGCUUUUUUCGCAUAGCGUUAUGUUCCCAAGGUUCAUCCAUAUUGUAGCACGUGUCAGAACUUCACUUCUUUAUAUGGCCGAAUAACACUCACGUUUUAUUUAUCCCUUUGUCACUUGAUAGACAUUUGGGUUGAUGAUAUUUUGGGCUAUUAUAAUAAUGCAGCUAUGAACAUUCAUGUGUGAGUUUUUGUGUGGCCGUCCAUUUUCAUUUCUCUUGAGUAUAUACCCAGGAGUGGAAUUGCUGGGUCAUAGGGCGACUCCAUUUUAACAUUUUGAGGAAGUGCCAGAGGCACGUUUUAUACUGUGUUUUUCAGCUUUGUAGGAUGGACUGAAAGUAGAGAAAAUACUGUGAGGAGCACCCCGUAGCCAUCAUCCAGGCUCAGCGAUGAUCGCCCUUCUUCUGGGCUUGUUUCACCCCCUCCCCUUCUCCACCGUUGUUACCCACUGAGUAGUUUGAAGCCGCUUCAAACCCUGCCCGUCUUGUUCGCUUGGCUCAGAGGUCAACUUUUGCUUUUGUUCCAAGUCGUCUACACCCAUAUUCUUGGGCAGAUGGAGUUUGGGGAGAAUGGAGGAGUUGGGGCAGAGUCGAGAGUGGGUCAGUGUGGGGUGGGAAAGGAAUAGCUCCUGAGUGAUGCAGGACGGGCUGUGUAAUUUACAAAAUGAAAAUACGGAGCCCUUUGUUCAGAAAUUAUCGAGAAGUGCAAGAUGACGACAGCAGAGCAGUAUACCAAACCUGGGCCCUGUGCACGGCCCAGGUCUCGUGCCCAUGAGGCCCGGCCAAAGGGUGCCCUAGCAGCACGGAUGUGUUGGACACAGGAAUGUAGAGCCGUGGGCAUCUGGGAGAGACAAGGACCCCUUACCCCCAAUCCCUGGAAACGUUCCAAGGAAAGUUUGGGUCUCCCAUGGCACUCGGGACAGGGUUCAAGCCCGUUUCAUUUGAAUCUCUAAAAAUAAGAUGACCCCAGCUGACAUGUGGGUUGUAAGUACUUUUAAAAAAUAGCCACUUGUCUUACUAAGCCUUCUUCCCUAAGAGCCUGCAGUUGUUUUAUUUGGCCACACCAUUUUGUCCUGGGCUCUGAGCGUGCUCGGGUGUCACAGCGAAUGACAGGCUGCGGUCUGCAGAACAGAGGGCUGCUGGUUAGCAACCAACGCGCAGCAGGGAUGCCCAGGAGAGGCAGGUGGCCCUGGCACAUCUUGGCAACCAGUGUGGCACCCAGCCCCUCCCAGACAGAGCUCCACUAGCCUUCUCCAAGGAUGGUCUCCACCAACCAGAGGAACCUUAGUUCCUGCGCUUAUCUAGACUCUCCACCCAAGAAUCCACCCAGAGACUCAGAGCCCACAGUGUGUUGGAAUGGCACCCAAGGAUGUACUUGCACUAACAGAACCUCGUCAUGAAGGGGUGUGCAACUCGACUGGGAAGGACGGGCGGGGACUCAGUGAGGAAGGCACAGACGAGGAUUUGCACUCCCCCCUGUUCUCCGCGGGGUUCUCAAUGAGUGAAGGAAUGUUCAUUCAUUCAUUCCGUUAUUUGAAUGCCUAUGGUACACGACGGGGCUGUAUGCCGGCCAUGAUCAAUACAGUAACCGACGAGACAGACCCAGUUCCUACUCUUAAGGCCGGGAGAGGCAAUCAUAAACCAAACAUGAACAACAAAACAUUUUAAAUUUGAUUAAAAUAAUGUAAUGAUUGCUAAAAACAACCACAGCCACAGGUCUGAGUAAACCUGCUCGCAGCUUCCGGGUUUGUAGACAGCCAGCGUGGAUCUCAAAGCAAAGCCCAAUUUAGGACUGAGGUCGGUCUCAGCAGUGAGCUUAGAAGCAGCAAAGCCAGGAGAAGGCUCCAGAGGAGGUAGGUGGCUCUGCUUUUUCUCUUAUUUUUCUGCCAGCACCUUCUACCCCACUUCCGGUAACAGACCUGACACCCAGUGGGCCUACGGCCAAAGAUGGCCACUCACGGCCUCCAUCCUGCUACAGUAAUUGGUCCAGGUGGGGACACGUGACCCAAUGUGGCCAAUCGCAGCAGCCCACCACUGAGCCGGGCCACAGUGAUUGGUCCAGUGUGGUCACGUGACCCAAGCGUGGCCAAUCCAGGAUGGUCCUUACUACAGCUGGGAAAAGGUUGCCGCUUUCUCCCUCAGCAUCCAGAGCUGCUUGUGACCCCAGAGACCCCAGGCACAAAGGGCGGGGGAGAUGAGAGAUAGGGUGGAGGGAGGGGAGUAGGAGAGAGGUGCGCUGCCCUGUGACCCCACAGCCUUCCAGCCCUGCGUCCAAGAGCAGCCCAGCUUCUCCCUUUCUUCACCGUAGCUCCCCGAGUGAAUUAAAUCCCCAUCUUGCCUCAGUCCGAUCAACUCUGGUUUCUGCGCGGCCCAACACGUCCCAGUUUAGGGCGUGGGACUGUUUCCCUCUUCGUGGAUUGUGUGAAACUAAAAGGGGUAGGUCAGCCUCAGAGCUCAUUCUCCCCGGGCUGUGCCUCCAGCACUUGAGAAUAAAAGCAUCGUCAGACACAUCUCCAUCCCCCCAUUAAUUUCCCACUGAAUCAGAGCUAAACACUUGCUCUUGGACUUCAGGUUCCACCCUAUUCCUGCUUGCCUCCGUCUCCCCAACCUCACCCCGAAAACACCCCCUUCUCCUCUUUGCUGCGCUCUCCACCAUGGGCGGAGCGUGCUGCUUGUCCCGGCCGCUGCUCCGAUGCCCCCCAUGUUAUAUUUGUAAUGAUUUUGUUUGACUGGUUUCCCCCAUGAGUGGGGACCUUGAGCAUGGGGACCCGGGCUUCCCCCAUCUUCGUACCCCCGGGUGCUGGCGCGCAGCAGGGAGACAGCAAGCGUGGGAGGGCGGGAGGCAGGGAAGGAUGGAGGAGGGGAGACAGGGGUGUUCAUUCCUGUUUAUUCUGGUCCAACCAGUGGUCCCUCGGAGGGUCAAGUUUAUAUUCGUUUCCUCUGCUGGAGACUCCCGCGUCAGGUAGACACAGAGCUGUUUCCCUCACUCCUUCAGGCCUCUACUCCAAAGUCACCUUCCCCCGGGAACUGCAUUCUCCCAGUCCCCUUCUCGACCCCUGUCCCUCUUCCAUGCUUUCUUGUCCUCUUUAGCACCCUCCACCACCAUCGCUCCUUCUCUGUGGUCCAUUUCUUUUACUUACUCUCUCUCUCACUGAAAUGUCAGCUCCAGGUGGACAGGCAUCUUUGUUUUCUUCUCUGCUGUCUGUAUCCUCAGCACCUAGAACUGUGCUUGUCACCCGGUAGACGCUCAGUACCUAUCUGUGGAAUGAAUGGAUGAAUGAAUGAAUGCUUUGUGUUCACCAAACCACAGUUCUAGCAAACUUGUUUCUUAAAGAACCUAUGCGCUCCAUGGAUUUUCCAGGUGUUAGGAAAGUCAGGUGACGUGUGAGUUUCCCAGGGCCGCUGUAGCAAAUUACUACACAUUGAGUGGCUUAAAACAACAGGAAUUUAUUAUUUCACAGUUCUGGAGGCUAGAAACCCAAAAUCUGGCGGGGCUGCACUGACCCCAGGGGCUCCGGGGGAAAAUCUGUUCCUUGCCUCUUCCAGCUUCCGGUGGCUCCAUGACUUGUGGGCACAUCACUCCAGUCUCUGCUUCUAUCUUCACACGUUCUUCUUCUCCCUGUGUCUGUCUGUGCUUCUGUCUUAGAAGAAGGCAUGUGAUUGCUUUUACUGCUUAUCCAGAUAACCCAGGACAAACUCCUCUCCAGAUCCCUAACUGGAUCACCUCUUUUGUCAUAUAAGGUCAUAUUCACGGGUUCCAGGAACUGGAAGGUGGGCAUACCUUUCUGUUUUUCACAUCUCUUUUUUCACAUUUCUCUUUCAAUCCAUCCAGCCCUUAGUGGUUAUUUGCAUAAAGACCAGAAAAGCAGAUUCCCACCACUACUGCAUUGGCCUCACAGAUAUUUAACAAAAAGAGUAUUAUUGUUGUAUUAUCUUGCUCGCAUCCGAGUGUGGAAAUGAUUUUUCAAACACCAUUUUAUGUUUUUUAUUUAUCCUGAUUUUUAAAAAUAAUACCGUGCUUAUGGUAAAUAAAAAAUAGUACAGAAGAGAAAAAUGUGGGAAAUAAAGGAGCGCCUUUGCAAUUUUUCUCGAACUCCAAUUUCACUUUCUGAAAAGUAGCUACUGUAUGCGGUUGGCAUAAUCGUCAUAAAUUUUCUAAGCAUUUUCGAGUGCCUGCACUUUCUCUGCUCAUAACGUUAAGAAAAUCGGGUGUGCUCCCAUAUAUCCUGAAGACACGACAGCCCUCAGACCCACCGCCUUCUUUUUAAAGCCUUGUAGCAUGGCACCAUACCCAACCUGUCCCUCACUGGCUGACGUUUCAGGUAACUCGAGGAUUUUGCUGUUAUAACAUAUAUAUUUUUUGGCAUGUGUCCAAGUAGACUUACAGGAUACAUUCCUAGAAGUGGUCUUUCUCAGUGAGAGGAUAGGUGCAUUUUUAAUUUCUACAGCGACUUCCCAGUGUUCUUCCAAAAGGUUGUAUCAUUCACACGCCCAUCAACAGUGUACGUGCUGUUUCCAGCACCCUCGCCCAACCUGGCAAGGACGCGGUGUGUCAGGGGAAGCAAAUCCUAAAUGAGGUAAGUGGACUUUCCCUGUGGCCUGGGUAGGGGUGGACAUGGCCUCCAAGGUUGUCCCUGUGGCUCUCUGAGGUGCUAAGCCGUCCAGAGCUCUCGUUAGUUUGGGUUUUAUAAACAAAGACAGAGUUUGGGGAGGUGAGCCAGAACCGUGCAGCAAGAAGCGUUAUGCAACUCAGUAUUUAUUUCUUUAGUGCAGUUAGAACUUAAAUAUGGUCAAAACAUAUUCUUCUUUUAAUUUACACAAACAAAUAUGUUCCCAGGCUGACACCUCGGGUGCCAAGUUUCUAGGGGAAACGAAAUUCUCCUCUGAGAUUAUAAACCACUAGAGAGAAGAUGGAAAUGGAAAAGCCACCGCGAGUCAGCUUCACACAUCCAGAACUGGGCUGCUAAGAGCUGUCUCUUUCUGUCUUAGCUGCGGAGAAACCUGCCAGUAAUUUCAGCAAAUGAAACGUGGGCCGCAGAAAGGCCAGAGGAUGGAAGAUGCUCCGGUUUUGACAAAAGGAGGUCUGCUCAGCUUGGAAUCCUCUCUCCUGUGAGUCAGGAGAUGGAAAGCUAUAUCCAGAGGGGCUGAUGAAUUGAGAGAAAAAGAAACGAGGCCAGUCCCCUGACUCAGCAGUGACACAUGAAUGAUGCUCCAUAAGUAGUCAUCCCAUGGACCAACCAAUGCCACCGUCACCUCCGACCCGGCCUCCAGCCGAAAUCACAGAAACCCUUUAUAGCCACCCUGACACCCAGUUCCCAUUUCAGACAGGCUGGUAUCCAUGAUGUCACGUGAUAGAAGAUGAUUCCAGAAAAAGACUGGUCAAGAGGCUCCUGGAGGGAGAGAUGGCAGCCAGGAUUGAGAGGUUUUUUUCUUUAUUAUACCUGUUCUGUCCACUAUUUCUUGGCUCUGUUCACAUUGCUGCUCUAGUACCAGCUCAGGGAAAAAACGAAACAAAACAUGAGCCCCAGAAUUUGAGACAAGAUAGCUGGUUGGUUUCCUCUCUGCUUGUAAUUUAAUGCUGGAAAUGUUCAUGACUUGCCUUGGCCGCAAAGGUAAUAAUAAAAGUCUGCAGCCUGAUUAUUUGGCUACUAAUUCCCUUCUUGGUGUUUUUCUUCCCCUUUCCUUAAAUUACUUCCAGAGUUCGUCCAGAUUUCUCGUUGCUAAGCUGUAAAGUUCCGGGCUUCGCAGCGCCCAUGCUGAUUGGCAGGGAGGCCCGGUCAGCUCCAAUCAGAAGCAGGUCGCCGAAAGGAGCAUCCACAACGCAGCUCGCCCCGGGGUUUUGGAAUUUUCUCGCUGACGUUAUGAACCGCAGAGGUCUUUGUCUAACUCUGCAAAACCUGUUCUCUUGAUCUUGUCUGCCUCUCUCUGGAGCGCAGGCUGUUGGGGGACGCCAGAGGUCCUGGAAUUUCCCCCGGAAGGAUGGGGAGUCCCUGGCUCACCGGUUUGGGCUCAGCGACAGAGAUGCCAGGGCCUGCUCGUGGUGGACCAUAGCCAACAGCGUGACGCUCUGCCACAGGCCGGUGAGAUGCCUCAGGCCCCCCAAAACUGACCUCUCCUCUCCCAGGCCAUCUUCUAAGCUUGGUGACUGGAGGAGGCUGAGGCAAAGGGGAUGCCACUGAAAGUGGGAUGGUUGGGGUGGAGACCACGUUUGUAAAGGACGUUAAAACACACAUGGAUGGUAGGGGCACGGUGGAGGGCCAUUCUGUGUUCCACCUCUAGAACCCCAAUGCAAAGAACCACUAUGAACUGAAACUUAUUUUUUAGACCACUCUAUUGAGGUACGACUGACUUACAAAAAGCUGUAUGUAUUUAGUGUCUACUACUUGAUGAGUUUGACAAUGAGUAGACACCCAGGAAACCAUCACCACGAUCUAUGCCAUAAACAUAGCCAUCACCUCCAGGAGUUUUCACCUGCCAUCUUUAUGAUUUUUAUUUUUGAUGAUAAGAACAUUUCACAUAAGAUCUACCCUUUUAACCAAAUGAGUAUAUGAUGCAGUGUUGUUAAUUAUCAUCACCAUGCUGAGUGUUAGAUCUCCAGCACUUAUUCAUCGGGUAUAAUUGAAACUUUGCACCCCUUGACCAAUAUCUCUGCCUUUCUCCCUCCUCCCAGCCCCUGGCAGUCCCCAUUCUACUCUCUGCUUCUACGAGUGUGACUAGUUUAGAUUCCUCAUAUAAAUGGACUCAUGUAGUAUUUGUCCUUCUGUGACUGGCUUAUUUCACUUAGCAUCAUGUCCUCCAGCUUCAGCCAUGUGUCCACGGAUGACACGAUUUCCUUCUUUUCUAAGACUGAGUAGUAUUUCAUUGUGUGUAUAAACCACAUUUUCUUUAUCCAUUCAUCCACCGAUGGACACUUAGGUUGCUACCAUGUCUUGGCUAUUGUGCCAGAAAUUGUACACACACAUCUGCUCCCAUCUCAAAACACCCAUUGGACAGACUGAGAAUGUGAUGGGCGUCUGCUGGUUUUGCUGCUGCUGCUUCCCUCUUUCACUAACGGAGAAGGCCUGCCACAGGGCAAGUCAUGUGACCCAGGCCUGGUCACAGUGAUUGGCUCUGGGGUGGGCACAUGAACAAGCUGGGCCAAUCAGAAUCUUCCUUGAGACUUUACUACCAGAACUAUAGGAAAAGUCUCCCUUCCUGCCCCUGGAUUUGCUGAGCUGGCGACCACAAUGAACACACGUGGAAGGUGACUGAGGGAGAUAUGAAGUCCCUGCAACAAGGCUUGAGCCCCAGGUGCAGCCCAGCCUUAGGGGAAGUCAGAUCCACUCCCUGGAUUUUAGUUACAGGAACAGUAAGUGCUUUGUUUAAGCCAAUUUGCCUGUGUGUCUGUUGCUUCUAACUGGCAGAGUGUAAUACAGACAUGCACUUUCUCGUUGCCGUGCGUGGCUCUGGGUUAGGCAAUUUGCAUAUAGUCCCACACAGGGGCCUCCUUAUCACCUGGUGUGGUAUUCCACUUUGCAGAUGGGGAAACUGAGGCUCAGAAGGGUGACUGCCCAGAUAAUACUGCCAGUGUGUGUUCAGGCAUUCAAACCUGGGCCGUCUAAUUGCUGGAUUCCUUGGUGGCCCCUCAAAUUCAACUUGUCCAAAACUGAAUUCAAGAGCCUCCCCUCUAGGGUCCUUCCCUCCGGGGUCCCGCAUCCUAGGGGUAGCCCCUCCCACAAACUAGUGGUGCUAACCAGAAACCAGGUGUCACCCCUGAGCCCUCCGCGCCCCUCACUCCCACAUCCAAGCCUCACUAAGUCCUGCCUGUCGACCCCCUCCGCAGCCCCAGAAGCAGUUUACUUCUCUCCCUGUCCACCUCUCCACCCCUGCCCAGCUGCCCUCAUCUCUCAAAACUUUGACCUUCGAGAACUGCCUGCCACCUGGUCCUCGCAUGUCUAUUCUUACCCCUCUACUCCGAUAGGGCUCCCCUUGGCGACCAGAGGAGUUGUCUCAAAAUGCCAAGCUGACCUCAUUGCCUUGCUGGAGGAGGCUGGGUGAUGAUCUGAUGGAACACGUUUGCCUCCGGGGAUGUUCUGAGAAUCGUGCAACCCCUUGGUCCCACCCGAUAUUCAGGCACAAAGUCAGCAAGCCUGGGAGCUGGGGAGCACGCAGCUCCCUGCAUCCGCAGCUGUCCCAUCGUUUAUUCCACAAAGAGUUUCUAGUGCCUCACAGGCACUGUCCCCUCUGCUGGGGCUCCAGAGGUGACCAACAGCAACCUGAGCGAAACUCACAGUGUGCUCGCCGCGGACCGGGUCCUGCACUCCGCGCUUCUCGCCCAUCCACUCGCUUGCUCCUCCAGCAGCCCCACAAAGCAGUGACUGUUAUUAAUCCCAUUUUAUAGAUGAGAAGGAAAAGGUGCCAGUUCUCAUGAAGCUUAUAUGCUUGUGAGGGAGAUCGACAAAAACAAGUUACACACACACAUGCACACACGCAGGCAUGCACAGACGUGACAUAAUUCAGAAAGUGAUGGACCAAGGGUGAUUCUUGGACUCAGUCCAGAGGCUUCCAGAUGCCUCCUUCUCAACUUGUAGCCUGUAACCUGUGCCAGGCCCAGGGCAAGAGUAGAAAUGGAAAGCUACCUACUGUAGGUCUACAGAUUUAAAAGUCAUAAAUCAGGUACAGGCACCCAGCCCCAAAGUUCAAGUUCUGUCCUGAGCCCCCCCAGACAGCUGCUCCUGAGCACCCCCUUAGGUUUAGGGGUGCACACACUGGGAAGCCAGUCUGCUCUCAGCAGGGCAGGUCUAGAGGAGACCCCUGAGCAGGCUUUGGAAACGGCCCAGUGCUGCUGGGGCAGGGAAUCCUGGAGUCCCGGACUCUCUCCAUCCCUACCUGUCCUCUGCCUUACCUCCCAUACUGGGUUGGUGUCCCCCCAAAAUCGAUGUCCACACAGAACCUCGGAAUGUGACCUUACUUGGAAAUAGGGUCUUGGCAGAUGUCGUGAAGAUAAGAUGAGGUCAUUCGAGGUUAGCAUGGGCCCUAAAUCCAAUGACUGGUGUCCUCGUAAGAAGAGAAGACACAUGCAAGGAGAAGGCCAUGUGAAGAUGGUGGCAGCGAUUGGAGCGAUGCAGCUACAAGCCAAGGAACGCCAAGGAUUACAGGAAGCCACAGAAGCUGGAAGAGGCCAGGAAGGAUUGUCCCGUAGAGCCCUCGGAGGGAGCACAGCCCUGCUGACACCUUGGUCUGGACUUCUAGCCUCCAGAGCUGUGAGAGGCUAACUCUCUGUUGUUUUCUACACCAGGUUUGCGGUUGUUUGUCACGGCAGCCCCAGCAAACGACUGUACUUCCCUGGGCCCUCCCCACCCUGCCCUCCCCCACACCCAGUGUCAGGCUGCUGCAGGAAAAAACAUCACAAGCAGGUGGUCACAUUCCCCACCUCCUCACAAUUCACCUGGCCAACGUCAGAGCCGGAACACUCUUACAGGCCAUCUUUCCCAAGAAGAUCAGCUCCACCUUUGCCCAGGGCAGCUCUGGGGACAGGCUCUGGCUCCAAGGGGUAGGCCGGGUCCCUGAAGCAGGACCUCAGGGGAGGCAGGCUCUGGGGAGCCCCUCUCCGCUGUCCACCCUGGCAGGCGCCCAGGGGAAUGUGUGUCAACAGACUCUUGUGCUGCAACCACAUGUGGUUUGCUGCUUAGCUUUCCACUGGGAAGCUUGGCUGUGUUUGUCACAAUGGUUAGUGUUCGGUUACGUUUAACCAAGGCUGUGGAGGUAGGGAGUUAGAGUGAGCUGUAUAUAAUCUCUUGUGCACAAAGCCCACGGUAGAAUUGCCUGACCUUCCCUCCCUUCCCAAAUACACAUGACAAAAAGUAAACUGAGAAAGAGGUCAGGUCUCUUUAGAAAUCAGAGUGUUUGAACUCAAUAGCAAAGAGCUGCUGUUUAUUCUAAACUCCAUGAAAUGAGGUGACCUCUCAUCACCAGGUAAGUCAUUGGGACUAUAGGCUUUUUGAAUGCCAAAAGCCAUUCAUUCAUCCACCCAUCCACCCACCCACCCACUUAUCCAUCCAUCACACACCCACCUAUCCAUCCAUCCAUCCAUUUAUCCACCAUCCAUCCAUUCAUCCACCCACCUAUCCAUCUAUCCCAUCCAUCCGUCUAUCCACCAUCCAUCCAUCCAUCUAUCCACUAUCCAUCCAUUCAUCCACCAACGUAUCCAUCCUUCCAUCCAUCCAUCCAUCCACCAUCCAUCCAUUCAUCCACCAACCUAUCCAUCCAUCCAUCCAUCCAUCCAUCCAUCCAUCCAUCAAUCCUUCUGUCCAUCUAUCCAUCCAUCCAAUAUUUGAUAAGUUCCCAUUAUAGUUACUGUAAUGAUAUUAAUAACAGUGGUUCCUAUUCAGUGGCUACUUCCUAAGAGAUAGGCUGUGUACUAAGCACUUUGCAUGCAUCAUCUGUUUAAUUCUGACAAACAAUUCUAUAAAACAGAUGCCAACCCACCCAGUUCCCAGAGGGAAAAAGUGAGGCACAGAGAGUUUAGGUCACUGGCCUAAGACUUCAGAGCCUACUGUGGUAGAUUAAAUAUGACCAGAAGUUCCUUGCUGUUCUCCUGCCAAGGGGUGGAGUCUAUUUCUCCACUCCCCUAAAUCUAGGCUGGUCUCAUGACUUGCUUUGACUAAUAGAAUGUGCCAGAAGUAGUGUUGUGCAAGCUCCAAGCCCAGACCUCAAGGAGCCUGGCAGCUUCUGUCUUUGCUGACUUGGAAUGCUGACCGGAUGUUGGUCUCACCUAGUGGAAGAUGAGAGGCCUCAUGAAGGAGCACUGAGGCCACCCAGCCAACAGCCAGCUGCCACACAUAUGAGGAAAGCCAUCUGGACCUUCCAGCUGAGUGCGCCCAGGCAUGACCAGCAGAGGAAGCACUCAGCUAACCUAUGAAGUCAUGGAAAAUAAUAAAUUGUUGUUUUAAGCCA
RNAcentral lists this long non-coding RNA (16464 nucleotides) under Equus caballus (horse). Its description in RNAcentral is "lncRNA (ENSECAG00000049573.1)". Lineage: Eukaryota; Metazoa; Chordata; Mammalia; Perissodactyla; Equidae. The record is from RNAcentral.